UGAAACAUUUCUGAGAACCUCACGAACAAUAGAAUGCACCCUCGGACAUGUGUCUCUGUAAAAAGAGUUAUCAAGCUGUGCAUUUGAGAAGGGUUGUGAUGCUGCAAGCAAAACCACCACACAGAAAAGUGUUACUUUCACUGUGAAAACACUGAAAGAACUCAUUGCUUCUUGUGUUUUGAGCUGUGAAUGUGAUGUUGUGAGCUUCGCCAAAUGCUCUGGCUCUAUUUAAAGAGACAGAAGAAAAGUGGAUAGUGGUUUGGUUUCAUCAUCUGCUGCUGGUGGGUUCAGAUUUUCAAUCAUUCUGCCAAGAUUAAUGAGAAAAGUCAAAUUUGGUGUUUCUGGAUUUUAAUAAUAAUUGUUUAUUUGAAACAUUUAUAUUUAUUUUACACAUGUUACAAGUAUAAAAUAAUUAUAAGAAAAUUAAACAUUUGUAUUUAAAAAAAAGAAAAAAGAUAAAAUAAUAAAGAGUAAUGUCAUGUAAAAACUUGUGUCUUAAAAUAUCAUUUUUCUAUUUUUUACAAUGAAUUGUAAAUUUAACUAAAAAUUUAAAUAAGUCACCAUUUAAGAGAUGAUAUUUUGAGUUAUAUAAAUGUGUUACAAUAUUAUCUUUUGUUAUUAACUUUUUAAAUAUAAAAAAUAAUGAUAAUAUAUAUAUAUAUAUAUAUAUAUUUACAUUCAUUUAAUACAUAUUUACUUUUAUUUUGACACAUAUUAUAAAAAUAAAAUAAUUACAAGAAAAUUAAUUUUUUAUAUUUAAAAAAUAGAAAAUUAUAAUAUCAAAUGAAGAUAAAGAAUUUUAAUAUCUAAAUAUCAUUUAUAAAUAUAAUUUUUUUAAUAAUUAUUUUACUAUUAUAAUAUUUGUGAAAUGAAUGUAAACGAUGUUACCUAUAAUUACUAUCAAUGUUUAUAUAAUUAAAUUUUUGUUUGAACUUAACCAGACUUACAUUAGAUACACAGAUUAAUGGGAACUAGACAUGUACUCCAAAUUUUGUUUAUUUAUAAAAAAAAAAAAAACUUUUCUAUUUAUUGUUGAAAACAGUAUAUUUUUUAUUUUACCAAUAAUUCUUUCAUGCCUAAAAAUAUCACAAAAAUAAUUUUUUUUAAUGAAAAUAGAAUUAUGGAAAAAAGGAAAAAGAAAAAGACUACACAUGAGUGUAAAAGGAAGUAUUUGUGUCUCCUAUUUAUACACAAAGUGUUUGACUAAAAAUUGCAUGGUGAUAAUUUUAUAAUUAAUAAUAUUUGCGUAGUUUUUUUUUUUUUUAAUAUCGACCUUAUUUUGUAAUUGCACUGGUGAUUAAUAGGUAUUGUUCUUUCAUCUCUGUCAACGGUUUUGCAUUUAUGAACUCAUUGAUUAAAUUGUAGUUUAUAGUUGGUUUAAACCUUUUUUUAGUCCUUAAGUUAUAAGUAGAUGUUCAGUUUAGUCUCCGUUUUUAAAAAUAUAAAUCUUUGGUCCCUAAGUUAUAAAAGAAUGUAUCAAAUGAGUUAUUUUUUGACUUGAAAUAUUGUUUUUGAUUGUUUCUUAAAAACUGCCACAUCUUUAGAUUGCUCUGAUUUGUUUUUUAAUAAUAACAACACUUUAGAUUGCUCUUUGUACUUUGACCAUGAACAUAAAAAAAAAGGACUCAUUUGAUACAUUUUUUAUAACUUAGGAACCAAAGAUUUACAUUCUUAAAAGCGGAGAUUAAACUGAACAUCUACUUAUAACUUAGGAACAAAAAAAAAUUUAAACCUUUAUAGUUCUUCGUCAGUGACAGCAGUCUAAACUUAAACUUCAUUGAUGUCUAAUUGUUACUAAUUUCGUCAAUAUUUGACAAACUUUUAUAAAAUAUCCAUACAUCAAUAGCACUUGAUAAAAACAAUGACAAGUUAAUCAUGAUGUUAUAAUUAUAUGCUAAAUCAAAAUAAAAAGUUACUGAAUACAUCAAUACACAUAACAAUCGGACAAAAUAUAAUUCAAAAUACAAUAAAUUGAAUACCUGAAAAAAAAAAAAACAAAAAAUUGACAACAUAAACUUAUGAUCACAAUUAAAUAUCUUUUGUUUGAAACAAAUAUAGAUCCUUAUGAAACAAAUAUAGACCACUUAUAGUGUUUUUUUAAGUAAUGCAAUUUUCUUCACUAUCAUUAUAUAUAUAUAUAUAUAUAUAUAUAUAUAUAUAUAUAUAUAUAUAUAUAUAUAUAUAUAAUAUUAAUUAGUAAUUAACAAUGCUUAUUGUAUACAAAUUAUAUUAUUUAUCAAUAUCCAAUUUAUGAUGAAGAUGUUCUUCACCUCCCUUAUUAAAGUAAUAUUGAUAAGUUUUAACUUUUUUGUAAAAAAAAGUGAUAGAUUAUAUGAUUUUUUACAAUAAGUCAUUAACUCAACAAAUAUAACAUCAUGCAUUAGAUGAUCAAUUCUAUAAUACAUGUCAACUAAAAAAAAAAAACCUCAAAUUUAUUAAAUUUAUUAGAAUACAUUUCAAGCCAAAGCACAUUUCAACUUAAUAAAAUAAACUUUACUAACAAAUUGCUACGGAACACAAAUAUACUGACACUCAUCUAAGUCUUUAAAAUCUUUAAAGAAAAUAUUUUUUUAACAAUUUAUUUUUUAUAAUUUUUUUAUAAUGUUUAUGUAAUAGCUCGUAAUUAAUUCAUUUUAAAUAUAGGGAUCAAUAAAAUAAUAAUAUAUAGUCUACAAUUAAAAAAUUGUUAACCUAUCAUAGUCUAAUAAAAAAAACCAAAAUCUAAACUAUAGAAAAAGAAAAAGAAAGGCUUUAAUAAACACUUCAAGAUAACAGUUUUCUCCCAUUCCUUUUACUUUUCAAAUUAAAACUAAAGAAGCACACAUAUAUAAGUUAAAGAUAAAACAUAGUUAUUAACAAUAUAUAAUUAAUACAUUCACAAUUAAGAUUCAUUGUCAUUACUAUCUAAGACUAUAGAAAUGAAACAAAUGAAUUAUUAAUAAGAACUAAAAUCAAUAUUUACAAAAAAAAAAUCAUAAAAAUAUUUAACCAUACAUUUAAAUAAACUUAAUGAUUAUCUACAACAAUGCUACGGUAAAAUAAAGUUCACUUUGUUAUACCGAAUUACUGUUUUGUUCAACAUUGAAUCAAGCCUAUGAUGAUAGAUUAAAUCUAUGUUUCCUCUAUACUUACACUUACAAGUGUAUAAAUGAUCAAUAUAUAAUUGGGUUUCCUUUAUUGAAGUUCUGGAAAACUUUAGUUAUAAUGUUAUUUUAAGAAAGAGCAUAUUUGGGUUGGUGCGUCUAAGAGAAAAAAAAAAAAGAAAAAGAUUAUCGAAGUAGGUUUAAUAUAUAUUAUUCAUGGUUUUAACCUUUUAUAAGAUGGUCCAUCGGUGGUUCCACAAGUUUUAUUUAUUUAUUUAUUCGUAUUCAUAUAGUUAAAAAUACAACUUAAUUCGAAAUUUUAAAGUUAAUUAUUUACUAAAUGCAUUCAAACUUUAAUUAUAAUAUUAAGUAUUUGAAAUUUAGAACACAUGUAAAAAUAAGAUUUUCAUGAUGACAUGGGGGUCCAUUUCUUUGUUGAUAACUUUUUCUUUAUGAGUUCACGUUAUUAACCUUGUUUUUUGUGUCCUCCAUAUUAUAAUUAAAGUUCUUUAUAUUAUAAGUAUUACGAUUUCUAUUUUAAAUUUUAUAAAUGUUUCAAUUAUUUUAAAUCUUUAUACUUAAAAAAAAUAAAGCAGUAUUAUUUCAUAUCCAAACUCGUGAUAACAUAUGUAAUCAAAGAAAACUAUAUCUCAAUUUUAUUGGUUGAUAUGUAUAUAUAAGAGAAAAGUUUAUUUUGAAACCUUAUUUUUUAAUAAACUUUUAACAACUUUAUAUAAUAAUAAAAUAUUAAAUUAAAAUAUAAAGUAAGUUAUUGAAUAAAAAUUAAUAAAAUAUUGUGAAGAGGGGGUAUGAAUAUACAUUAUUAUCAAUGUAUCCAUAUGUUAGGAAUGAAAUCUAAGAUUGAGUUUUAUAUAAUGUAAAAUCAAUAAAGUUAAGCAACAUAAUAUAAAAAAAUAUCUACAAAUUUAUUACUUUAAAUAUUUUGGUAAAAAGUGAGGUUAUAUACUUUAUAUGGAUUAAAUUGUUUCCAUUACGUACGUACCUACUCCUCUCAGAAUUUCAACUCGAAUUUAAGAUCUAAAAAUAGUGUUGUAAUAUUUUAUAUGGUGUUUCGUCAUGAGUUAUUGCAGUAGAAUCUUUCCAACAAAUUUUAAAGAAAGACUUUAUAUAAUUUCUAAACUAAAUGUAUGAAACGUAGAGAGUUGAAAAUGAAUUUCUAUUAAAUCUGAGUCAUCAUUUGAAUGGUUUUUAAGAUAUUUUUUUAUUAAUACUGUAAAAUAAUAUUUUUAAUUUAAAAAAAUUACCCCCAACAUAUUUUGAUUUAAUAUUGGACAAAAGAUGAGAUCUGCAUUAUUAAACCUUAAAGUAAAGGUGUCUGCCAACCACCAUGCUUUUGAAACAGUAACAUGUAACGUGGGACCUUCUGAAUUCUGAAUUAAAUACAUUUUUUAAUCUUAGUUUUUCCAACCAUUCUUUUUCAAUGGUCCUUUAGGUCAAUAAAAUCAACCCAUCCCCAUUUCGAGUAACUUGUCCUGACCAUGCUCUUUUGCUUUUAUCAAACCAUUUUAACAUCAAAAAUAUUUUUUACACACUAAAAUCUUUUACUUUUAUACUAUUUUUAAUUACUUUUUUUUUCUUAAAAAAUAUAAAAAUUUAUAUUUUUAUAACGAUUUUAUUUUUAUAUUUUGUGUCAAGUAAAUAUAAAAGUAUUAUUUUUCUUUUAACAUUUAUAAACAAUUUGUAUAUUUUUUUAUUCAAUUACAAAUUUAUCAUUUAUUCGUUUUAUAUGUUCAAAAUACACUAAUGAUGAUUUCAUGUUAUAGUUUCUAUUUUCUAACAAGAUCCCACCAACACUUGAUAUUACUAAUAUUAUAUUAGUGAUCACGUGAUAAAGUUAAUUUGACUACCAUCUCCAUCUUGUUUAUUAAUUAAUAAAAUUUACUUAACAACGGAUUUGGUCUCCAAUUAUUGGGGUUUUCUUUUAGUUUUUCGAAAUGUCCCUUUAACUUCUGGUAUCUGAAAAAUAUGUUGUAUUCUUUUUUUUUUUUUUUUAAUUUUGUGGACUCUUCUUCGUUUAAUGUUUUUUUUUUUUUUACUUUUUUUUAGGUCAUUAGAAAAGUAUAACAUAUUUCCGAUAACGUGUUGGAUUAGUAUAGUUAAGUAACAAUGAUAAAAUAAAAUACAAAUUAAACCAAAAAUUACAAAUAUCGUACUAUUCGAAUUUGCUACGCGUAGAUUUUACCUAUAUAACACGUACGAUACGAUAUAAGUUGAAUCUGUAAAUUAAUUCAAGCUAGCCUUAUCCAAUUAAGGGUUUAUUUUAUUGAUCUAUUAGUUGUUAAUAUUGUAUUUAUUGUCCCCUCAUAAAAAAGGUUGAACCUUAGUUUUGUUGCAGUCACAUGAAUUAUAUAUAUUUUUUAAUAUAUUAAUUAUUACAAAAAUCUUUAACAUAUUGCAAGCAAUAAUAUAUUAAAAGAAUGAAAGAAAAAUAUUUUGAAUUUUAUAUAAGAUAUAAUGUAUCAAAAUUGGUAUAACAAGUUAUAAUAUGAAUAAGUUUUAAAAAAUUGAGAAACUUAACAUAUAAAUAUAGUAAAUUAUAUGAAUCAAAUACAUUUGACGUGUAAUGGUUUAUCAAUCACAAUAUACUCUCACAAUUUUUAUUGUUAUUGAUGUGUUGCGCUUGUUAAGUAGUGUGUAUCUAGUGCUCAUAAGUGUUCUAGAGAUUAUGCAAAUAUCUCUUGCAAACAAACAAAUGAUGAUAACUCAACCUUUUAUAAUUGGAGAUCUUGUGAAAAAGGUUUGUAUAGGUAAGGACUGUUAAGAAGUGGACUUUAAACCUAACUCAACUCCAUAAAAUCAGCUUAUAAGGUGAGGUUUGCACCCACUUAUAUAUAUAUAUAUAUAUAUAUAUAUAUAUAUAUAUAUAAUAUCAAAUUGGUCUUAUCUUUAAUCGAUGCGAGACUUCUAAUACACUCCUUCCCGCCAAGGUAUAGACAUCAUCUUGAGCGUGAGACUAAACAUUAAUGGGUGGUCUAAUAACGGGUGAAACAAUAUGCCCAACAAACAACAAAUAUUGCUAGGUUAGACUCUAACCAAGCUCUCAUAUCAUGUUAAGAAGUGGACUUUAAACUUAACUAUUGCCCACUCAAUUUAGAAUAUGUGUGUGGUUAAUUUAGAGUAUAUAACUUAUUAUACCAAUUCUUAUACAUUACAUCUUAUAUGAGAUCCAAGAUUUUCUUCUUUCGUUCUUUUCAUAUAUUAACUUUUGCAAUAUGUGGGGAUUGUUAUGAUAAUCAAUAUAUUAUAAAAGAAUAUAAUUAUAAAGAUGCAAUAGAGUAUAAUACUACAUAAAUGUUCACACAUGGUGGUGGUUGUGAACGUUGGACUUCUUUGCUUUGCAAGUCAGGAUAUAUUAUUUUUCCACUCAUCUAUACCUCUCCUACACUUAUAAAUCGAUGCUCUUUUUCACCUUAAAAAAGAUACAUCGCUCACAUAUCUCUUCUUUCACUCUUGCUUAUUCUUUUUUCUUCUCUUUAUCUUCAAUCUUGAGUGUUUAUUUAUUCUUUAACAAAGUUUUCCUUACUACUUUUGAAUUCGUUGAUGUAUUUAGAGACGUUCCUGUUAUAUCUUAAAUAAAUUCUUAACUACAGUAAUCAUUCACCUAUAAGAAAAUCCAUUUAACUUGUGUUUUUAUCAGUUUUUUCAAUAGUUGUGUGGAUGCAACUUAUUUAAAUUAUCUUUUAUUUCAUAAAAAAAGUAUAUUGAAAUAUUAAAUCAAAGUUAUUGAACGGAGCAUUGAACUUGGAGAAUGAAAUUAAUAAUAAAGAAAUUAACCCUAGUUUUGUAGGUCUUGUUUGUUUGGAUAGACAGUGUCGUGCUUCGUACAUGGAAUUAAUUAACGUUCAUAGCUAAAUUUGUUGAAGUAGUUGGUACAAACUGGGAUUCUGGGAACGUCUUGCUCGAACCACAUGUCGAUUUGAUUAUUAAUUAAUGUAGAUCUUGUCUAACUUUCAGUUAGGAUUUCAACCUAAACCCCCAGACAUUUUUGCUUGGAUUUUGCUGAACAUGUAUUUUAUUUCAUCUUAGUCAAUAAUCUGAAAUAAAAGUAUUUGAUUGAUGUACUUUAUUUACUCAAGAACAAAACGUGUAAUGAACACAAAAUUUUUAAGUUAUUGAGAUCCGCGCACUUUUUAUUACUAUAGUUUAUUUGCAUAUGAAAAUUCAAUAAUAAUGUAAUUAGAAAAAAAUGUAAAGUUACUUAAAGAAAAAAAAAGUAAUAUUUUUUUAUUUUAAAUAAAAUAUUUGUGUACCAAGAAGUACAUAAUUUAAACAAAACAUGAAAAAUGUUGGUACAAAAUUUAUAGUUUGUAAGGUUGAAGUUGAAUUUUAUUGACUAGAAAUAGUUAGUUUUUUUGUUGAUGUGCUCAAUAGUUUUCUAAGUCAUAAGUCAAUUUAAUUUAAUUAAAAGAGUUUUUAGAUGAAGUUGAGAAUGUGUUUAAAAAAUUGAUUUAUAAGAGUGUAUAAUGACAUAAAUUAAUAUGAUGAUAGAGAAUUUCAUAUUUAAAAAUAAUACGGUGGUUAGAAUGUUAUUUUAUUCAUAUAUUUGAUACAAUUUUAUUUUAUUAAUGACACUGUGAGAAACCAAUUAUAAUAUAUAUAUAUAUAUAUAUAUAUAUAUAUAUAUAUAUAUAUAAAUUAAUUAGUUAUAUUACUUUUCUUAUAACGUUACAUUUAACAAGGAAUCAAAUGUUACUGAACCCGACAAACAUAUGAUUGGUAGCAUGAUGAAGCAAUGAACUUUGGCAUGGACAAACAUAAUUUGCAAAUAUUUGUUAAGCAAUUUUAUAUUUCAAUCUAUAUAUAAUUAACCACUCCAACCCUUGUUCUAUUUUCUAACCCUUCUUCUGUCUCGACAAAGUUCGCAUUAUUGUAUUUGGCUUUUUGAUAACUUUUUUCCUUUUAAAUUGAUUUGAAUUUAGGAAAGAGUUGAAUAUGUGUUUAUUUUUUAGUGUUUUAAUUUUGAUGUGAUAUUUGAAUUGUUUUUAUAUAAAAUUUUGAUUUUAGUUUUUAAAAACAAAUAAAUAAAUAAAUAUAAUAUUUUAAUUAAUCAUAUUACAUUUUUUUACGGUUAAACAUGUAUUUUUAUUAAUAUUAAAAAAACAUAUUAAAUAAUAUAAAUAUCUCAAAUACCAACAUAAAUAUAUAAAAAGAUUAACGAAAUUAAAUUAAAAAAGUUAUAUAUAUAUUUAUUAUUAAAAUUUAGAAACUUAAAUAUAACAAAAUUUUACAUGGAAACAUAUUCUAGUUUUGUGUGGAAGUUAAAGUAAAAAACAUAUCUAUUCUUAUAUUAUAAUGUUAUUUUUAGAUUAUUUGUAUAAAUUCUUUGGUGAAACAUACGUGGUUUUAAACAUAAAGGUAAAUUCCAAUUUAAAGUCUACCAAUUCACUAUAUGGUGAGAGGCUUAUGUACUUCAACAUUGAUGAAGUGGCAGUUUGAUCGAUCAUGCAGGAAUUAUGAUAAUAAAAAGAAAAACGUAUAUCAAAGAGCUUGUUCCUCUGAUAUUGUUCCGUGGAGAAUGCCACUAUGAUGGCAUGAUCAUCUUUCAUUAUAUAUCAUCGUAUUGAAAGUCUUUUUCUGAAAUGACAAAUAUUCAAUAUUUAUUAUUAAAGUUUGGAAACUUAAAUACAUCAAAAUUUUGUAUAAAACAAAUUUUAAUUUUGUAUGGAGAUUAAAAAACUAAAAUUAUAUUUAAUUCUAGUUUAUAAUGUUAGUGAGUUAUUUGUAUAAAUUCCUUGACGAAACAUAUGUGGUUUUAAACUAUAAUGGAGCAGAUAAGAGAUAAGAAAAAGAGAAAUUGAUAUUAAGAACAGAACAUGGUUGAAAAUACAAGAAAGGCAGAGAUGAUACAUGCGACAAUGAAACAUGGUUAGCUACGGACACUUUAUGCGAAUAAAGUGGGCAUAGCUUGGUUAUUAUUGACGAUGUGAAUGACAGAAUUUGAAGUGUAUUGAUUUAUAUAGAGCUAACCAUACCCUCCUCUGAUUCGGAGGCCACAGGUUGCAUAACUUGAACAGAUCUUCUGUUAAUAAAAUUACAUUGUUUUCUUAUUUCUCCUCUGUUCCCGGUGAGAACACCGAUAUUUCCCAUUUUUAUCAUUGAUUUGGCAAAGCUGCUAAAGAAAGCCUUUUGGUCAGCACUGAACCUGUUGACAAGAGGGAUGGUGUCAGCACCGGGUGUUGAGAACAACUCUUGGUCACUCUGAAGCAAACCCCUCUUAACCUGAAGGUUGGAGUAAUAGUUUUUGUCCAAUCUAUCAGGAGUGGUUGGGUCAAAAUUUACCAAGUUGUUUGGUCCACCUUGAGGGCAUAUAUUACGUAAUUGUUGUGCGUAAGCAGGGUCGAGAGUUGGAUCGGGUCUGCCAGUGCCACUGAAGUUGUACAAUCGGGUAAGAAUGAAAAAGCAGUGAGCUCUGCCAAAUGAAUGAGCACCUGAAAUCGAACCACAUGGAAAUGCGUUUUCAACACUUUUUCCAUUUAUUAUUGUUAUUGCUGCAAACUGGGGAAGAUUUGUUAUUACCUGAGAGUGCAACUAGAUCAGUAGUGUCAAGACGUUGAACAGCAAAUGCUGCUUUAAGUUGAUCGAGUGUGGAGAAAGGAGAAGGAAGGUUUUGUUCAGCAAGUGUUCUGUUUGCUGUUAAACUAUCCCUUCUUCCCAGUGGAAAUUUGAUGAAAGGACCACCAGCCUAUCAAUAUUAAAUCACACACUACUUUUACAUCAUUGGACAACUUCAAAAAGGUGAAAAGAAGUAUGGUCUGAGUUCUGAGACGUACCAGAAUAGAAGAAACUUCAGCUGCAAUAGUAAGAAUAUCUGCACAAGAAACAACGCCGGGACAAACAUUCUCCACUGCUGUCUUGAUGUCAUUCACCACAUCCAAACCUCUUAUGGAGUUGUUGUUUGGCCGGGCUUGUUGCUCACUCACUAUCGUUGCAGUGUUGUUCAACAAAAUCGAUGCAUCACAACCCUGCAAGCCACAAUAUAUAUCAGUUUCUUUCUAAUUCGUUCUUAAAAAUAUCAAAUGUUUGAUAGUUGUUUCAACAUGAAAAAAUUACAUACUUGAACAAAACAGUCGUGAAAGAAAAGCCUGACGAGACUGGCAGGCAGACGAGGAUCCUUUUGUGAAGCUCUCUCUACCACUUUGAACACAACAAGACGCACGGGUGGACAAGUCCACAAGUAGAAGAAGGGGUCUAGUUGUGCAUCUGAGGAAAAGGGUAACCCUCCAAGCACCACUAGGGCUGUUACCACAACACAAAGAAACCUCAUUUUCAUGCCUAAAACGUUAACCCCUUGAGUGUUUUUGUGUGUUACUGUAUUAAUUCUGAGACAGACCAUAAUGCUACACUAUUUAUAGCUACAAAUUGCCAUGUCCUUGCUCCUGAGUUGUGAAAUGAAGAACAAGACUUCCUGUUGGGCACGUUAUCUGGUACAAAACGCAUAUAUUUUUAAAAAUAAUUCUCACACAAGUUGUUUGUUUAUACUAAAUGAUGAAUUAAGUAUUUAUGAUAGAUUAUGCUAAGAGCCACUUCUUCAAGGAAGGUGCAAUGCUAGUCUUUACCGUGUUGCAAUUCUUAAUCGACUCAUUCAUUGCCAAGUCAACUCUUGUCGAUUACUGCCAAAAAAAGUCGUACUUUAGCUUUCCGGAUAUACCAUCAUUUAUCUCACCAACAUGAAGUUUUUUUGUGUAUGGACAUUGUGACAUUCAAUUUUCAGCACACAAAAAAAUAAUACACGCCAUAUAUAUAAGUGUAUAUGUAAACAAUGUGUAAUUUAAAUUUCAUCUUUUGUGGUGUAAUUUUCUGUACUGUUAAAUGUUUAAAAAUGAUCUUAAGAAUAUUUUUUUAGUCAAUUUUUUUUUUUAAUUAUCUUUAAGACUACUUAUGCUGGAUAAAUAUAUAUGAAAUAGAUUUAAACUCUGUGAAAAAAAAAUGAUGAUUUCUGAGAAAUUUAAAGUUGUUGUCGAUAAUAUAUUUUAAAAAGUACAAUAUUCUUUUCAUAUUAUUGGGUAGUUUAUAGUCUUACGAUCUAUCUGUUGGCAAACGCAGAAGCAGGAGGAGUGUGUUGAACAAUCUAAAUCUCUAGGUAUUUGGGUGUAAUUAUUUUAAAUUAUAUAAUUUGCUUUUAUAACACUCUAACAUAUAUGUUACGUGGUCUCUAUAAUAAUUUUAUAACACUCCACUUUGGGUCAUUAUUUAUUAUUUAUUGUACUUAAUUAUUAGUAUAGUAGUAGGCCUAGUGUAAGUAUUUUAUUCAACAUUCAACCCUGAAUUGUCUUGAACGUAACAUCAUCGUUUAUAGACUUCAGUUUCUGGCACAAAUGUUUUGAGUGAGGAUGGAACUUCGUACAAAUGUUUGGGUAGUUAUUGUUUUUUCAACAUUUUGUAGUGAUUUUUAUUUUCUUAAUGAGAUAUAUGCUAUAAUAUUUUUCGAAACAAAUAGUGCAAAAAGAUGCGAGUGUAGUAUUUUUUAAAUCAUCAAGUAUUUUUUGUAAAAUAAAUUGCAUAAAUAAUUUUUUUUUAUUUGUUGAUCGUUGACAUCGUUUUAUCUUAUCCAUAAUUUGUUUUAUUAUCUCCUUCCACAUAUGGUUGUUAAAACCUAAAUGGAGAUCGACUUUCUCUAGAUCACACCCACGUGGUUGAUUUAAAUUCCUACAUAAAUUAUUAAUUUAGGCAUUGAAAUAUGAAGGAGUUGUUACGAAGAUGAUUAUUAUUAUAAUAUGGACGAAACUUCAAUGAUGCACACGUAUAACUUUUUCAUUGGCUAGUUUUUCCAUUCUUUAUGUUUGGAUUUAACAAUGCUCAAAACCUAAUUUGAUGCUUCAAAUGGAUAACGAAUAUUACUUUGUGAUAUCAGAUCCAUGUAUGAUCUUUAAUAAUUUAUUAUUCAGUCUCUCGUUAAUUUGUAAUUACCACACCUUUUCAUGAUAUGUAGGUGCCAUUGGUAUACAUAUAUAUUGUUUUCUCUUCUUCUCAUAUGAUGGAGAAUAAAAAAGUACAACAGAAACAAUUAAUUAUGGUUCUUCUCUCAAAUAAAAUGUAAAAAAUGUUUAUUUUUAUCUUAUCCAUCUUAUUUCAUCCCAAACAAACAAGAAAAAAUCUGAAUAAAUUAAAUACCAGGUCAAAAUCAAUGAUCUGAACGCAUGAAUUUAAUAAUUAUUAUAUCAACAACUAGUCUAAAAAAUUACCCUGAUCACAGUCUAUGAAGAUAAAUAAAAUAGAAAACUUGCUCCAAGAUAUAACGCAUUAAAAUCAAAGUGGACCAAAACGAUAUAAAAAGAAAGUUGGAUUCUCUAUAUUUGGCCUCUCCUUCAUUCUUAUCAUAGUUAAUGUAUUUAUGAUAUAAUUAAUCUUUCUUUCCGUAUUUGAAAUUCUAAAUUUAUCAAAAAUAAUUAUAAUGUUAAAAUAAACGUAAACUUAAUUUUAUAAGUUGAUUUUAUGAUAUUAAAUUAAAUUAAAAAGUUUAUAUUUUAUUUUUUAGUACAAUAUUAGGAUCUUUUGUAUGAGAAAAUCCAAACCUUUCCCAAUCGCUUCAAUAUUUGAAGUGACGAAAAUUUCCACUUAGCUUGGAAUUUGGAAACACAGUAAUUUUUCCUUUUCCUUCUUUCUUUGGUUCACUUUUUCCAAAGACCGACACUUUUAAUUCAUCUUCGUUAAAAUUCAGACCACCACGGUGCAUGAUUGCUUCUUACAGAAUUUAUAAAUAAAACUAAUUAAUUAAUAUACUUGAAAGUGAUACUCUUUUUUGUUUUUAUUAUUAUUAAGAUGAAAAAAAGUGCCAUUUUUUUCUUCUGCAAAAGACUGUAGUACAAGCUUGUUCACCCAUAGAGCUUGAGUAGAAUACAAAGUACACCACACAUAAAACUCUUUAUUAUAACUUUAAUCACUAUAUUUUCCACAGUAAUCUUUCUCUGUUUAUAACAAUUCCAUCUUCUGACGAUCUAUGAUGGUAAAGAUAUCAAAUGUAUUCACAAAGUUGCACUGUUUUCGAAUUUCUCCCUCUGAUCCUGUCAACACUCCAAUGUUGGCCAUUCUUAUCAUUGACGCUAUGAAGUCUUGAAAGAAAAGAGUUUGAUUGUCAAUGUAACUGUUGACAAUGGGAACAGUUUCUGCAUCAGUUGUGCUAAACAGCUCUUGAUCACUCCGAAGCAGGCCAUUUUGAAGUUGAAGAUUGGAAUAGUACUCGGAAUCGAAUAUUUCAGGAGUAGUUACGUCCAAGUUGGUGAGAUUUGUUCCAACUCCACCAUUGGGACAUAUUGCUCGCAAUGAUUCUAAGAGAGUGGUGUUGAGAAUAGGAUCUGGGUUCCCACUGCUAAAAUUGUAUAACCUAUUUACAAAAAAUCUGCAUUGAGCCUUUCCAAUUGUAUGGGCACCUAAAAAUCAAAUAUUUUCAAUCAUAAAUACCCUUUCUAUUAAAGGACCUUUGAUAUUUUUACACUGAUGUUAUAAAUAUUCAUACCUGAAAGUGCAACUAGAUCAGUGACACUGAGGUUCUGAUUAGCAAACGAGGAAAUAAGUUGAUCGAGUGUAAAAUCAGGACCAGGAAGGUUUAGAUUAGCAAGGGUUCGAUUUGCUGUCAAACUAUCCCUUCUUCCCAGUAGAACUUCCCAAGAAGGACCAAGAGCCUGCAAAAUAUCAAAAACAUUUGUUACAACUCAAAUGUUACAAAGUUCCAUCAUUUUCUAUAAACGUGAUAAAUGUAAAAUGAGAUGAAAUGAUUAUGCAGAUACCAGUUGAGAAGAUGUCUGAGCUGCAAGAGCAAGAAUAUCAGCACAGGAGACAACCCCAGGACAAGCAUUUUCUACAGCUGUCUUGAUCUGAUUCACAACAUCCAAACCUCGUAAGCUGUUGUUAUUUGGCGCUGCAGUUUGCUCACUCACAAUGGUAUCAGUGUCGUUCAACAGAACAGAUGCAUCACACCCCUGUUAGUCAUAUCAAAUAUAUAUAGUAAGAUGUUAGGCUUACAUUUCAAUAAUAAAUUAAUGAGUUUUCACUCUUAUAUAGUGUUUCACUUACUUAUAUCUAUUUAAUAUGAGAUUUAAACUGAAUAGAAAAAUAUAUUUACCUGAACAAAACAGUCGUGAAAGUGGAGUCUGAUGAGACUUGCAAGCAUACGAGGAUCAGACUGGGAAACAUUUGAGAGCACAUCAGUUACAAUUGAAGAAACAUUUGGGCAUGUGGUAUUGUAAAAAGAUGGAUCUAGUUGUUGACAGGAGAAGCAGUGUAGUGUUCCAAGCACGACCAGAACACAGCAUAAAGUAGGGAGACCAAGGGAAUUCAUUUUUUCUUUCUGAUGUUUGAAAUUAUGAGCGUGUUGUUGUUGCAAGAACAUGCAGAUCAGCUGCUUCUAUUUAUAGAUCGUCUUUAACAAGGUUUUAAGCAUGUGAAUGAAAAAAACCAAUUCAAAGAAUAACACCUCUAAGAAUUAUAAGUCUGAUUUGUAGAUAGAGAUUGCCUAUCAACAAAAUUCAUAGAUAUAUUUGGUAUAAAUAAUAUAAUUACAAAAAUUAAAUUAGCUGGGUUUAAGUUUUGAACACAUUGCAUAGGUUAAAUGUUGAAAAUGAAAGUUUUAAAGCAUAUGGUGGUAAUCUUGUAUAGAUUAAAUAAGAUUAUCUUGUAUACGACCAACGAGGAACCAUGAAAUAGAACAUUACACUUGUUUUUACAGACACGAUGUGUUUCUCAUAUUGUCAUGAUAAAAGUCUUUGGUUUAUUACUGGAUUAGUAAGUGAAAUUCGGUUAAAUGUGAGAACCAUCUGUAUGCAUUAAGAUUAUCAGUUUGCAAUUUCGGUAUUUUUUUCAAUAUACACAAAAAAAAAACUAAUUUGUAAAUUAAUAUAAACCACAGUUUAUAAUAGAAUAUAUAUAUUUACAAAACUUAAAGUGAAAUUCUACUUCUUUUUUAUAAAGAUUUAUUUUGUAAUUUAAUUUUUCAUUUUCAACAUACUUUAUAUAUUUGCUGCAGAUUUAUAUGGUUUAAAGUAAAAGAUAAUUCAAAUUUAUUUUAUUCAAUAUAGUAUCAUAAUUUCAUAGGAAAUAUUAUUAAAUCUAUUAUUUCACUUUCUAUUUGCUAUUAAACUACGUAUAAAUAAUAAUAAUUCCACGCAUAAAAUGACACAAGAUGGUAAUACUUCGAAGUUAGAACUGUCCAACAUUCUAAAUUAACAACCAAAUUACAUCAUUAUAUAGGAUUUUUUUUAUCUUAUUAGUUUAUUCUAUAAGAAUAAGUUAAACUUAAACUUAUUUCUAAUAAAAUUAUUAAAAUUUAUUUUUGGAGUUAAAAUGUAUACAUUGGUAUAAUUAGGGAUGAUAACGGAUUGGGUCAGACACAGAUAGUGUCUAUCCGCAAUUUGACCCGACAAAAAAAAAAUGCACCUGCUAUCCACAAAUAUUUAAGAAAAUACAUUUUUUAUAAAUUGUUUAAAUAAAAUUACAAAAAAUAUAUAAAAUAUAAUAUAAAUUUAAUUUUAAUUUUAAUUAAAUUUAACCUUAUAAAAUAUAAAUUAAUGUUAAUUUUAAUUAAAUUUAACUUAAAAAAAUAUAAAUUAAAUUUUUUAUUUUUUACAGGUAGCGAAUAUCUGCGGAUAGUAAAUAUUUACGGAUACCACUAUCCGUCGCGGAUUUUAUCCAUAAUUAUCCGCGGAUGCAGACUUUUUUUCACAAGCUAAACCUUUAGUUUUAUAGUAAUUUUUUUAGGUCAUCAUUAUUAGACUAUGUAUUUUAUUUUAUAUAUUUACAUCAUAAUUGUCAAUAAAUGUACUUUGUUUUAAAUCAUCAAUAAAAUUAAUUUUGAUUAAUUUUUGUAUAAUUUACAGUUUUGUAUAUUUUAUUUAUUUUUUUAUGAAAAAUAGGUUUAAUUAAAUUAAGAAAUUAUAAAUGUAGGUUGCUAGUUAUAAAUAAAUGAGGUUUUAAACCUCUACAAUAAAUGAGUAACUAACAAAGGAGGUUAACACUUUCCAUAAAAAAAACCUCUGCAAUAUAACUCUGAUACCAGAGGUCAUGAAAAACUCUCGUAAAUUGAUUGCGACGACUCUAACUGUGGGGGUUUAAAAAACCUCUGGAAAUUAAUUUGUAGAAGGUAAAAACUUCCGCAAAUUGAAAAAAAAAUCUCCACUAAUUGAUAGGUUUUUUUGUAGUGGAUGUUUUAACGUGAACUCAUCUUAACUCUACUAAAUUUUCCUAUUUAUAUAGAUAAUAAGAUUUAAAUAAUGAGAGUGAAUGAGACUCUUAGUCUAUGAAAUAAGUACAAAAUAAUAUUAUGACAUAAAUAAUGAAAAGAAAUUGACCGUGUCAUGGCGGUGGUUUUUGUUAUAAGGAUGAUGAUUUUGGGAAGAAAUGGAUGUUGAAUCUAUUAUAUUAAAAGUUUAUAUAAAUGUAAAACUUCACAAUAACACCGUAUGUUUUGUCUUUGAAAUUAGAGUUUGAUAAUUCUAUUCGUGUUUAAUGUUGAAAUGUGAUUUGAAUGAUUUAUAUUUUAUUGGAACUUUAUUAAUAUGAAAUGAAAUGCAUGAUAUUUUUUUUUAAUUAAGCUUAUUCUUACGUUUUGUUAUUAUUUGUACUUUAUUUAAUGUAAUGAUUGUAUAGAUAUAUUGUACGUUAAUAUAUUGAUCAAAUGAAUAAUCCCGUAGUUGAUACUGAAAAACAACAAUAAAAAUAUAAAAUUUGAAUAUUAUACUAUAUCGUGAAUAUAUAAAUAGAAUGUCUGUUUUAUAUUAAACACAUUCAAAUGACGUAAAACUUAAGAUAUAGAAAGAUAAAGAUUAAUUCAUUUUAAAAAAGAAGUUUCGUAUAUAUAUAGUGUAUUUAUAAGUAUGUAUGCCAUUAGGUAAAAUGAUUAAUGAGCAUUAAAUAUAAAAUAAAAUUGUUUUUUUUAGCUAUUUUGGUUCUCACAUUUCUUUUUUAGAAUAUGAGUUUUAUUUUGCCUAUUUUGAUUCAAGUUUAUAUAGAAAGUAAAAAAAAAAAAAAAAAGACUGAAUACUUUUGUGGUGUGAGGGNGGGUAAACAUCGUAUUCAAUCGCAGGGAAGUUCUGCCUUUUGAAGUUAAAAAGUAAAGGCUGCCCAUAAAAAGCUUCCUUAGUUGGGAUUAUUGAAAUGCAGGAAAAGUGGCAGUAAUUGCUAAAAUGAUGUUUAAGAAAUUAAUUUUCGGUAAAAAUAGAAAGUAAUAAAAGAUCUUAACUAUUUCUGAAAAAUGAAGAAAAGAAAAAGUUGAAGGUUGCAUAAAACACGUUUUGAGAGGGAACGUGAGAUGCUCUAGAAACAGACGAAAUUAAAUUAAGGUUUAAUAGCUAAUUUUUUUUGUUGACAAAUCUUAAUUUAGUCCUUCGUUUUAAAAAUAAUUGAAAUGGAUCCUUACUUUCAAAAUUUUGAGUCGAAUUAAUUCCUUCGGUCAAACAGAAACAAACAACGUUAAGGGCUUGAUGAUUUGGUAGUCUAUAAAAUAAUAUCUCUUAUGUUAAAUCAUUAAACCCUUAAGACCAUUUGUUUCUGUUUAACAAAAGAGACUAAUUUGACUCAAAAUUUUGAAAAUAAAAGCUCAUUUCAAACACUUUUAAAACAUAGACUAAAUUAAGAUUUGUCAAACCAAACUGAAGACAAAAUUAGUUAUUAAAUCUUAAAUUAAACAAUAACUUUUUUUUUUCUUUUUAAUCUUAAGAGUGACUUCCUAGCAGAUUCAGCAAUAAUUGAUACACUUCUCAUUAUUGUUUAUAUAAAUAAAUUUUCGGUUUUUUCAUCAUACAGAUGUCAGUAUCAAUAAUUAAAUACUAUGAAGACAUAUUUAUUUUCAUUAUUGUUUUAAACUGAUAUUUUUAAUUUUGUAAUAUUUUCAUAAAAAUUUAAUUUCCGUCCUACUUCUAAAUAUAUUUAAAUAUCAAAUAUAAAAAUAAAAAUACAAUAUUCCUUUAGGUUCGGUUCUAUUUUUGUGGGCCAUGUUAUUUGAAUGGCUUUAAGACUACAAUAAAAUGAAAAGACAGAGUGUAACUUUCAAUGAAUUAUGAAAGUGUUCCCAUAACCUACUUUUUCCAUUUUCCACAUUUAACUCGUUCUCUGUUUUCUUCUCUUUUAUUUACCCAAAGGAAAGAGGUUAUUUACGUCAACUUACAAGUUAAAGUUGCAUUUUACAUAUAAUCUUCCUAACAUUGCACUAUAAUGUCUUCCCACGUUUAUGGUAGACUUUAUUCAUUACGUAUCGUGUAGAAUCUCAACUCUAAUGAAUUGGCAUUAUUGGAUGUGUGAAAUUUCUCCAUCUUAAAUUUCCAAAAUUUGACUAUCACAUUUAAAACCCAAUGUUUUCAUACCAUUUCUUUUCUGAUAUUGUUAUCUUGAUAAUCUUAUGAAUGCAACUAAAAACAUGUUUAAUAAAGGUCUUGUUAAGAAUGGAAUGAUAGAGUGUUCUAGUAAACAAAGGUGAGCGGAAUAUCAUCUCACAAUAACUCAAUAAUUGAGAAAAAUUAUUGAUUUAUAAUUCUAUUUUUUCAGAAAUCUUUGCAAAACAAACUUCAUCCAAUUCUCUCUAAAACAACAUGUGAAGACUUUAGAUAUAAAUAUAAUUUAAUGAAUAGAUUAUUAGAAAAAUUUAUGUGUUUGUUCUUUUAUUUAAUAAAUUGAACAUAAUGAUGAAAAUGUUGCUCCACUAUUAUUCUAGAAUAAUUUAUGUAUUUGUUUUUAGUUUUUCGCCAGCCUACAUGUGUAACUCUCAAUUACGGAAUUCUAGAAUGAUAGCAGAGAGUACGACAUGGUUCAACUUCAGCUCUCUAUAUAUUCUCUUCAUAAAUUAGUCAAACAAAACUGUAUUUCAUAUUAAUUUUAAAUGGAAAUAAUUUUUUUAACAACUCUUUUUUUUGACAACUUUUAACAAUGUGAUAACUUGUGAUUGGUUUAUUUCAAAUAUUUUUUUAAAUAUAAAUUUAAACAGAUCAAUAAAAUGAUAACAUGUAUUCCGCUGUUAAAAAAUUGUUAAAAAAAGUUGCCAAAAUAUCUGCAUCCAUUUUAAAUCUCAUAGUUAAGUUCAUGGAAAAAGUGUUUUUAACAACAUUUUUUAACAACACAUAUGUGACAGCUUGUAAUUGGUUCAUUUUAAAUAUUUUUUUAAACAUAAAUUCAAUGAAAUGAUGACAGAUAUCCCGUUGUCAAAAAAAUUAUCAAAAGAUGUUGUCAAAAUAUCAUCAUCCUAAGUUCAUAUACCUGUACUCAAUUAGGAUUGAGCCUAGGGAUAGAAAAUAUAAUUGGGCCAGGCCCAUAACAUAUUUUAUUUCUUUAUGUACAUGUUCUUGGGUUUAUCUAGACCAAUCCACCUUUAUAUAUAAACUAGAUGACUAUAGAUUGUCGUAACAUAGUAAUCGGGUGACCAUAAUGCACAAAAAGUACACCAACAUCAUAUCAAGGUCCACUACAGGGACAACUUUUCAAUAAAUUUAAAUCUUCAACAAACACAAAUAAAAAAAAUUUCAAAAAUAAUGUAAAAAUAAAAACGUUACCAUCUAUAAGUCAAUAAAAAUUUACUACAAAAAUUAUCAUUUUUAAUAAGAAACAAAAAUAUAAAAAUAAUACAACUUAUCAGAUUAAUAAGUCUAACUAAGAAUUAUUACAAAAAUAUUUAUCUACGGUAAGAAUUAAAAUUUUAAUCCAAAAACUAAAGAAAUCUUUAAUUCAAAAUUCAUAUAAUGAACUUAGAAAAUUUUUUACAAAAAUAUUUUAAGAUUUUUAUAUAUAAUAAUAAAUGUUUAAGCAAUCUUAAAAACAUUGAACCCAAAAUAAUUUAUAAUUUAAAACAAAAAUAAUCUGUUUACCUAAUGAAAUUAUAAAAUUAAAAUUAAAAUAAAUUAUAGACGUUUUAAAUGCUUAAAAUUUAUUCUAUCUUUCAAAUAAAUUAUUUUGAUAUCUUUAUAUCAUUUGAAUUGUAAAAAUCUUCUUAUAUUGAACGAGAACAUAAUUUUCUAUCAUUUCCAUGAUUACAUAAAAGGUUUAAAUAAUUAUUAAUUCAAAAUAGAAGAAAGCAUGUAUUCAACUAAGCAUACAUUAUAUAUAUUAAAAUCAAGCCAUAAAUCAUUCUUAUUAAUAAAAUUAGAGAUAAUUUUCGGUGAAUGACACAAUUAUAACUGUGGAUUAAAUAACAAUACUAACAACAAUAAUAUGUACACAGAACGUAAAUUUUUAGAUUAUUAUAUUCUAAUAUUUAUAUCUGUAAUAAAUUAUUUUUUUUAUUUUCUUAAAUUAACCUUACAUGUUAAAGUCAAGAAAAGAAGGAAACUAGAUUUUCUUUUUUGUUGCAUAUAAAAGCAGAUGAGAUGGAACAUUGUUUAUUGACUCUCUCUUUCUCUCUCUCUCUUUUUUUUUUUUUUUUUUUUUGUAGUUUCCAAAUCUUCUUUUUGGGUCGGUUUCUGUCAAUUAUUUGCAAAAGUAAUACAUUUCAAUAAAACAUAACACACACCCUUUUGGAAACAAAAAUCACUUCUUCAGAAUAUUAUGGCUAGUUUUAUUAAUGGAAACAGUUUAUUGAAUUUACCAAAUAAUUAAUCUAUAUAAAGAGAAUACUCAAUAUUUAAUAUGUUUUAAAUGAUAUAUUUUGUUGUAAGAUUUAAAUUCCAUACUUGAAAUUUCAUUCAUCCGUUAUCUCUUUAAGUAGUUGGAAAACAUUUUUUUAUAUUAAUAAUAAAAAAGAAAAAGAUAAAAUAUGCAAAUAAAACAUCAAAAAAAAUCAAACAACUUAGGUUAAUGGGAGUUUGCGAUGUUUUGUAGUAUGUUUUAUUAGCAUCUAUUUCUUCUUAUCGUGGUUUGAUUUGUUUGGUUUUUGAGGAAGAAGACAAAAUACAUCACACAGGCAAAGUCACGUGCUUUAGGUGACAGGUACACAAUUCUAGAACCUUUCAUUUAAGAUUAAAUUAUUCAAUUAUCCCUAUCUUAGAAAUUUGUAAUUAAAUCUCCAAAUUAAUUUUUAUUUAACUUUCAAUGAUGCAAAUAAGAAAGUAUAGAACAUUUUUUUCUUAUAUGACAAAUAUUUUUUAAUUUAUUGUAUCAAAAGUUAACUAUACUUACAAUAUUAAAAGUAUGUUUGGUCUCAUAAAUUAUACAUGUAUGUAUAUAUAUUAAGAUAAAUAAGAUAAAAUACGAUUUUUGAAUACAAAUUUCUGAACAAUAUGUUUAUAUGGAAAAUAAAUUAAAAUAAAGAUAGAUAUUAUAAAUGACUUGGUAUUAUCUUUAAAAAUAUUUUUAAUAUAUUUAUUUUAGUUUUAUUAUUUAAAUAUUUUCUUAACUAUGGGAAGGCAAUAUCUAGUGAAAGGGUAUGACAAUGAAUACGUAUACAGCAAGAUAGCGUGAGACAUAUAAAAGUUUAAUACUAAUCAAUGUUUUAGGUACUUGUAUGGAAGUGGUCAUAAUAUAAUAUAUAUAGAUAUUAAACCGACAAGAUUAUGAAAAAAAGAGAGAGAUAUAACUUACGUAGUUGGAAUACGAAAAAGAACCAACCUACUUUUGUCAGUCAUGUUUGCCUGCUUUAGCUUGUCCUUUUGCACCGUGAAAGAAGAUAGUGUGGUGAAAACGUGCUUUGGUUGAGGCAGACGCACAUGCAUAACAUAGCCGACAAUAUCUAGAAGCAUACGACGUAAUCCUAACAUAAAUUUAUAAUCAUUUAUGACAUUUUUCAACCUUUUCCGUUAGGAUCUAAUCUACGAUGUAGACUUUUAGUGUUUGCUUCCCGAUUUCUUACUCAAUUUGUUUUAGACAAUGCACAAUGUGAUGUUGAUGUCUUACUUUUGAAUUUUCAAAUUCAGUUUGAACAAAAAUACUUUUUAAACCAAAAAUCUCAAACUUUUUUAUAAAAGUAAUUCUUGGUCAUAUUUUAUUUAUCUUCUCGUUGAAAGUUCCACAUCGAUGGAGAUAAGACCAAAUUAUAAUAUAUAAGUAAGAUGCAAACCUCACUUUAUAAGACAAUUUUAUAAAAUUGAGUUAAGUCUAAAAUCCACUUUCUAAUACUUUCGAAAAAAUCAAAUAAAUUAAGAAAAAGAAUUAGAGAAUGUGAUUUACAUAUAUAUAAAUAAAGUAUGCGUGUGUUUUGAUAAGAAGAUAUGGCCAUUGACCCGAGAAGCAUAGUACCUCCUCCAAUUCAAUAAUGUAUAGAAUAAAGUAAAAAUUAGUAGCAAUUAAAUGUGAGUUCAACCACGAAAUUUGAAACAUGUUUUGACAGAAGAGCAACAACCAUCUGAAAUUGACAUCCCUUGUUAUUAAUUGUUGCACACUCAACUUCAUAGAGUUAGCGUGUGUACCGUUUUAAGGCAUGAAUUUAUUAGAAAAAAUAAUAAUAAUAAAAUCGCAUUAUUGUAUGUCUCUUUCGUGUCAUCAUCAUAGAAGAUUUUGAAUAUGUACAUAAGAGUUUUGGAGGGCACUCAAAAGAGAUAAUGGUCAAUGACAAAUGUCUACCAAGAAAAUCGAACACUUCACCAACGUCUUUAAGACUACCAUGUUAAAUUAUAUUAAUUUAAUAUUUGAUUCAUGUCAUUUAAAUAAUUAUUUAAAUAUAUAAAUAUUAAAACUUUUUAAUCAAUAAUUUUUAUAUCAUCAACAUUUAAGAGUAGUAAGAGAAGGAAAAACAUUAAUUAAGAAAACUUUAUAAUAGAACUAGAUAAGUUUUUUCUUUUGAAAAUAUUGUAAGAAUAAUGAAAUUCAAGUUUAUAGAUAUUUCCAUUUAAUAAAAAUUAUAAAAAUUGCUUUCAUAUCAAUUUUAAUUCAUAUAAAUUAUAAUUAAUUCUUAACUUCAAUAAGUAGGUAAUCCAUUAUUGCAAUGCAUGAUUUUGUCCAUGUAAUGUGAACCAAAUUUGGCGUCUUUUAAGAUAUGACACAUUGUUUUUCACCUUUAUGGAAAAAUUAUUUAUUUGAUAUUUUUUUUACCAUUGUUGAACUUUAAAAACUCAUACCGAUUGUUUACUAUAUGUCCCCAACGUUGUCAAACUAGUCACACUUAAAAAUAACUAAAUAUUAAUGAGCAUUUGAAAAUAAUUCACUGCAGUAAAAUUAAUCCUUAUCAUCACAAAUCGAUUAUAGAAGUCUUCAUGUGUGUGUGUGUGCUUUAAAAAAAUAUAUACAGAGGAAUAUUAAGAAAAAAAGUAAUAGUAUGGAAUUUAAAAAAAAAAAAACGAAACAUGUAGGACAAGAUAAAAUACUUUUACUUUUAAGUAUAGUUUUUCAUAUUUUCUUUAUCUUAUAUUUCUUGAUUUUAAUUUGUAAGAAACUUUUAUUUUAUUUUUGUAAUAUAUUUAAUAGUUGUUUGAUGGGUUCAUCUUAAUCCACAUCUUCAUGAAAUUCGAGAAAGAAGUAGGUGUGGUUGGAGAUUAAGGGUGCAAAAGGGAAAAACAAGGAAAGAAUGAUCACAGAAAGGAUGCACCGAACAGCAUUAUGCUUCAAAAUUUAAUUACAUCUGGAAAUUUGAAUUUCAAAUUUCAUAAUUUUCUCCCUAAUUUUCGACCAAGCUUAGAAGAAUAAGAAUUUCAAUUUAAUUUCUUUUGUAUUUGGAAGGUACAUUCUUUUUAAGUCAUUUUUUUUAUAUAGAGACUUUUAAUAUGUCAUUUGGAAUUAUAUUUCUUAUGCUAAGAAUGUGUAAUGAGUUGUUACUCUUACAAAUGAAAAGAUAAUUUUUCUCACUUAGAGCAUAUUAAGCAUAAAAAUUUCUUUUUCGAUUACUUAAUUGUAUAGAUUAGAUUCGUAUUUAGUGAACAUCUUUAAAUUUCUUUAUUUAUAUUGAAUAUUAAUUUUUUAGACUACUUGAAAGUAGUCAAACGAAUUCAUAAGUACACAAUUAUCACUAUUUAACUGAAUUUGCAACAUAUAUUAAUUAACAUAUGGUAAAAAAACGUUUUCCUUUAAGCAACCCUUAUAUCUUGAUGAAAAGUCAUUCCUAGAACAUUAAGAAAACAGUAAUGGGUGAAUUAUUAAGAUAGUUUGUAAAACCAUAUCACCAUUGAUGACUUACAAAAAGUUUAAUGGAUGAAGGAUUAAUUUUUAUCGAGGACUACUUUAGUUAUAAUUAUUAUAAGAUUCGAAGUUAAUAGUUAGUAAAUUAAACUUUAAAAUAAUUAGUCUUGCUUUUACACACAAAAAACGAAAUCAAUACUAAAUAUUUUGAAUUAAAUAUAAACUAGCCUAUAGAAUUUAUUGUUAAAAAAUUAUUAUAAGAUUUUGUAAUUGAAGUUAAAAACCUUACACUCAAUUUACACUAUAUAAGCUAAGAUAAAUUUUAUCUUUUAAAUAAGUAUUGUAAAUAUAAAUUAUAUGGUUAAAAUAAUUUUAAUCUUAAAACUUAUUCUAACUAGAUUUAUCAAAUAAUGAUAUAUAUAUAUAUAUAUAUAUAUAUAUAUAUAUAUAUAUAUAUAAAUGAGAAAACUCUAUUGUAGAAAAGUUUUACAGUUAACUGUACUAUAUUAUACUAAAAAUAACCCAUCCACUCUUACUAACAGUUCAGUAUACUAUAUUAUGGUUCAGUUUUUAAAAACUGAACUUAUAACAGUUACAGUUCAGUUAACUAUGAAAACUGUAUCUACUCUUACAUUUUCUUUAGUUCUCGUUCAACUGUUUUGUAUGGUCAAGAAAACUUUAUUUAAUAAUAAAAUAUUAAUAAAAGAAACCGUUCACAUAAAAAAUUAAUAAUUAAUUUUUUAAGACAAAUUUUUUUUAUCACAAAUGUUUAUAUUUUUUUUAUCAAUAAACAUAUAUUACUUUAUAAAUAAUAUUAUUUUAAGCAAUAAAAGUAAAAUAUAUUUUUUUGAAAUUUAAUUUUAUUAAAUGAUUAAGUAAUAAAAAUCAUAAAAGAAAAAAAAAGACUAUCUAAAAUAUACUUUAAAUAUAUAUUAUAUGUGUCAAUAAAUUUAAGAAAGUCACUCCGUAUUAUAUAUCUAAAAAAACAUACAAUAAUGUAAAAAAUAUGCAUAAUAGUACAAAACUAAGAAGUAUAUUCGUUUUAGAAAUAUAUAUAUAUAUAUAUAUAUAUAUAUAUAUAUAUAUUUAUUUAUUUAUUUAUUGUUUACUCUAUCUCAUCUCCAUAUAAUCCAUCAUAUAUUCUAUCCUUACAACUUUCCAAGUUACACAUAAUAAAUUUGAAUAACUUCUAUAUUUAACCUAUUCAAUAUUUUCAUUUUAUCAAAUGUUUAACAUUUUUGUAUUUAAUUUUGUUAUCAAUAAAAUAGUGUAAUCAUUACUAUUAUCUUUUCACUUUUUUUACUUUAUUAAUCAAUUUUUUAAUUCUCUUUUCAAUUCAUUGAUAAUUUUUAUUUUCUCUUUUUUGAAAAACAACAUUAUCAAUAAAAAUAAUGAGAAAUUAAGAAAAAGAAAGUUGAUUAGUGAAUUAAAAAUAAAAUCACGAAAAUAAUGAUUAUAGCCCUUGACAAGAAAAAAUAAAUAAAAGAGCAAUACAAUUACACAAAAAUAAACAUGAUUUUAAAUUCUCGUAUUAAAAGUUUGUUUCUUCUAUUUGUAUUUCACCUUUUGCAAUUCUAAUUAAUUAUAGAAGAACAGUGACUUCCAUUCCAUACAAUUUUUAUUCCAAAUAAAAAAAAAAUUGUUUUACAAAACUUCCAAUCAAAAUGAUUCAAUUUCAAAUUAUAAUCUAAAGUUACUUUGUUAUUAGAUAGUGUUAAAAUCAUAUUUUAAAAUUAGUACAGUGUUAAAAUCAGUACAAUUCAGUUUAAAAUUAGUAGUUCACUUAAAAUUAGUGUAGUUUACAAUUCAGUUAAUAGUUCAGUUAGUGCAGUUUACAAUUCAGUUAAUAGUUCAAUUAAGUUUAUACUGUAGUUUAGUACAAUUUAGUAUAGUUAAGUUUAGUUUAAUAAAACAAAAAAUAAUUCAGUUCAGUUUGUCUGAACACAGUUCAGUUCAGUUUAAACAAAUUAGUUUUUAGUUCAGUACAUUUUUUAGUAGUGUAGUUCAAUUCAAUUGGAUUUGUCCACCCCUAAUUAAAACAGAUUUUUUAUAGGUUUUGGAACCGGUAUAAAAGUAGAGAUAUAAAAAAUAUUGAUUUUUUAUACUUGUUUCAGAACUUAUAUAAAAAUUUUCUUAUUUAUUAUAAAAAUGUUGUAUGUUAGAAACAAUAUAGAAGUUUUUUUUAUCUAUUUCAAAAAUAUCAUAGUGUUAACUUUCUAUACUAAUUAUAAUUAGAAUAAAUAUAAAAAGUUUUUUAUUCAUUAAAAAAUGUCAUCACGUUUAUUUUCUAUACCAAGAAUUUAUAUAAAAAAAUUUAAUCUUUAUUACAAAAAUAUAACUGUAUUCACUUUUUAAACUUAAUAAAAUUACACCUGGUAUAAUAUUAUGGGUUAAAUAUGCUUUUAGUCCCUGAAGUUUCACUGAUUUUUGGUUUUAGUCCCUGCAUGAAACAUUGAUAGCAUUUCAUCCUCUAAGUAUGAUAAUUCUUAUUAUUAGUCCCUACAAACAGACUCCGUUAGUGUAAACAGUGAUGUGGCUAACGGCACAACCACGUAGUCUUCCACCUUCACUCAGCAUUGCUUGCCANGUUGACAUUGAGAUUUAAAAAAUUUUAUUUGCACGUGAGUCUGAGAUGAAUUAGGGAUUAAUUAGGGUUAAUUUGGGGGAAAUUGGUUUUCCUCCGAUGUGCUGNGGCGGUGGAGCGGUGCGAGUGACAUGAGCAUCGACAUCAACGGGGAGAAGAAGGAAUCGGAUAGCCCCUUUUCGUCCUCUGUUUCUCAGACGAAGUCCCUUCUUUCGGAAGAGAAGGAUCGAAACGACAACAAAUCGGAGAAGUUUGGGAAAACUGAUCAAGGGUCUUCUCAGGAGACAGGGAAAGUUUCCGUUUUUGACGAGGACAUGAACGGGGGGUUUAAGGAUCAGGUGGGUGGUGUUCCGGAGGCCGCAGCAGUGAAGAAGGGUUAAGCCAUGGUAAAGCCAGAUAGAGAAAUCUUUGGCUGAGAAAUCUUUGUAGAACUGAGAAGCCAAACGUGGGUGAACACCGCUGGUCAUAUUCCUUGGUGUCGGGACACUAUUCCUUUCUAGGGAGUUAUCGAAAUUCUCAUCAUCGUCAUCCUCNUCGCGAUAACUAAACUGUGCAGAAUGAGGUUGUUGUGUUCCAGCAGUAAAUCCUUGGCUACGUAGGCUAAUCAAGUGCUUAGAUGAAGGAUCGUUCCUUCUGAAAGGUGUCCUUGGAGUUUUUGGAACAGGGGUCAUGGCUGCGGGGUCAGGUUUCAGGCCAUCACGUUGGAAUUGGAUUAGGGGGUCAAGCCCAACCGUUGCUUGAUUAUAUUCAUUUAUAACAUCUAGAAGAUACUCAAUACUGUUUUCUCCAUCAGGAACAGGCCUUCCAAAUCUGGACAUGUGAUCUUGUAGUGCAUCUGGCUUGCCCAUAUAUAUCAAUCUUCCCCUACAACACCAUCAAACACAAGCAGAUCUGGUCAGGAAUUUGUUUUCAUAUGUUGUGAAUAUAUUGUUCCAGUUCAUCCAUGUCAAGUACUAGAGUUUUUCUUUGUUGUUUUUACAUCGAGCUGAGGCCCAUUCCAUUCAUCUCAGACUCACGUGCAAAGAAAUUUUUUUAAAUCUCAAUGUCAACGUGGCAAGCAAUGCUGAGUGAAGGUGGAAGACUAUGUGGUUGUGCCGUUAGCCACAUCACUGUUUACACUAACGGAGUCUGUUUGUAGGAACUAAUAAUAAGAAUUAUCAUACUUAGAGGAUGAAAUGCUAUCAAUGUUUCAUGCAGGGACUAAAACCAAAAAUCAGUGAAACUUCAGGGACUAAAAGCAUAUUUAACCCUAAUCUUAUUUAUAAUUUUGUUACAACAUUACUUUUUAUAUGUGAUGAAUUGCAAAAAUAUAUUUUACACUUGUGAAAAUUCUUACCUUGUAAAUCAGUUUUAUUUUAUGAAUUAAACUCAAAAUUCAUUUUUAGUAAAAUAAUCAUGCACAUUACACAAUUCAAAUUGUAAGAAAUAGGUUUAAACCCUCUUUUGGUCUCUAAGUUAAGUUCUGAUGUUCAGUUUAGUCUCCGCUUUUAAAAAUGUCAACCUUUAGUCCCUAUGAUAUGAAAAAUGUAUCAAAUCAGUCCUCAUGACAACACUUAAUGAACAAUAAAUCACAAGUUUUCAUACCUAGGUAUCCAAUAUUUUGUGAUUUGUGAACAGAAGGUGUUAUGAACAACAAAUCACUUAAUGGAAAACUUGUGAUUUGUUAACGAAUAUGACUGAUUUGAUAUAUUUUUCAUAUCAUAAGGACUAAAGGUUAACAUUUUUAAAAGCGGAGACUAAACUGAACAUCAGAACUUAACUUAAGGACAAAAAAAGGUUUAAACCUAAGAAAUAUAGUCUUAGUUAAACGUAUAACAAUUAGUAAGCGGCCCAUGAUAUAUUGGUGGCCAUAGCCACUUCAUUUCAAGCGUCAUCACUCUAAUUCUUUUAGACUGACCUAACCGUACCCUCCUUUGACGAUUCUGUGGAAACCACAGUAGCAAUUUUAACAAUUUCAGCAGCAUUAAGAAAGUUACAUUGCUUUCUGAUUUCUCCUCUGUUUCCCGUUAGCACACCAAUAUUACCCAUUUUAAUCAUUGCAGCCACGAAGUCGUGAAAGAAAGCUUUUUGGGACCUACUAAACUUCUCUUUAUCACUCUGAAGCAAACCCUUUUUAACCUGAAGAUUGGAGUGAAUGUAUCAGGAGUGGUUGGAUCAACAAUGGCUUUUUGAGCAGAAAAGGCUUGUUUAAGUUGAGUGAGGUUGAAGAAAGGUGCAGGAAGGUUUUGAUUAGCAAGUGUUUCGUUUGCUGUUAGGACAAGCCUUUCUGUAAAAGAAGGGAUCAAGUUUAGCAUAAGAGGAGAAUGGAAUCACUCCAAGAAAAACCAUUGCACGCCAUAAUGCAAGGAAACACCUCAUUUUCUAUCUCUGUUUGUUGCUGUGGACAACUAUGGAGUAAACAUGUUUUAUUUAUACACAAAUCUUGCUACUCUGUUACACAUAUGUAUUACAUUUUCCUUAAACUAGUGCACGGGUUGUAGUGGUGUGUCAUGCGUGAAGGUAAGUCUUCCCUCUCUCCAUAUUUGUACAUCUCUGUUUUUGUUAAAAGAAUGAUUUUUUAAAAUUAUUUAUAUUUAAUGAUUACUUAAAAUUUUAUUUUUCACACUAAUGCAAAAAAAAAUUUGAUGUUUGUGUUUUUUUUCUUUAAUAUCUAAAAAAAAUGAUGAUAUUGAAAAACGUUAAAUUGAUGUCAGAUUUAAAAAAUUUGAUAUUAAUUGACAUCUGACAAAAAGAAUAUUUGACUUUUGACAUAGAGCAAAUUAACGUCAAAUAUUAUUCUAUAUCUGAUGUCAAUUAACGUCGAAAUUUGUCAUGUUAAUCAACAUUUUAUUUUUUUAAUUGUGAUAUAGUAGUAUUAACUUGUGAUUUUUGGUAUUGAUAGUUAUGAUUAUUGAUCUUAGUUGGGUUUUUUUUACCACUCGUUAGAACUCCUAGUCCAUCAUGGGUUAGUCACUUAGUGAGCCAACUCAAUUCGACUCAUUUAUUAGCGAGUCAAAAAAAUUCGAACUCUGCUCGACCCACCACGGGUUGGUUAUUAAAUGGGUUGACUCAUUGGCUCACUUAAUUAUAAUUGUUUUUUAAAAAUAAUUACAAACUUUUUGUAAUUCAAAUCUAAAUAAAAUCCGAAAAUGAUGUUAAACUUAAGACAAUUCAAAGUAAUAAAAAAAGUACAAUACAAUCCAUGUAUAAUGAAUCAAAGAGUAUUUUUUAGGAAUUUUUAAGAUAAUAAAUUAAUAAAAAUAAAAUUAGGUGGGUUGGUGAGCCAACCCGGCUCACCACAGGUUCAAUCUAGAUGAGCCGGGUUUAAAUGAGCCGGGUUUAAAAUUGGCCCACAUAAAAAAAUGCAUUUUUACCUACGCAACCCGACCCGAACUUGUGGUGGGCCGGGUUGACCCGUAGGUUAUAACUCAUUUUGACAACUCUAGAAAAAACACACCAGGAGCCCUAACUUUGGUUGUCUAUAAAGUAUAAAAAUUAUUUGCAAAGUGAAGUGCAAUAAAUCUUUAAACGACUAUAACUUUUACUCGGAUUCUCUGAUUUGUUAUUAUUAUGUAUGGAUUUGGGUAGACGAAAAUUUCCAUCACAUGGCAGCCGAAAUCACCAGCUCUUCCUUCUAUAAUUUUUUUUAAAAAAAUAUUGUUUUCUAUUUUCAUCAAUUUUUUUUUUGUUUUUUUUUCCAAACUUUACAAAAAUAUUUCACAUACUUAGACUUUGAAUUUUCAUCUAAAUUUUUUUGCAGGACCUUCUCAUGAUAUUUUGGUGUUUUGAACAAAUUUUCAAGUCAUUUAGAAUUGUUUUGGAUAUACUUUCAAUUUUGUCCUAAAACUUUGAUGUAUAACCUGCAGUGUAGUACGGAAACGAAAACUAAACUUCAACAAUGAAACAAACAAGUUCCUGAAAAUGAAAACAAAAGCUAACAUUCUUGAAAGUUGAUUCGUCGGAAUAAAGUUUUGGAGCCAGUGUGAGAGAAACCAGAACGCGCCUAUGAAGAAGAACACCAAAACAAUCAGUCAAAACAAACGAAAAUUAUAUCUAAAUUAAUUAAUCAACAUUCAUUUAUAUAAAAUGAAAGAAAGAUUAUAUGUGCUGGUCGCCAAGCAUCGUUCGAGAAAAGUUCGAGGAGAGAAGAUAAUCUCGCGCUAAGAUAAAUUGAAUGAAUUUUCAACCUCUCGCCCAAAUUUUUAUUGAACUAACUAACAUAUAACGUCUGAUUCUAGGGCAUUCGAUGUCUUAUAACCUUUUGACGUCUAAUUUUAGGACAUUCGACAUCAUACAUAAGUACAUUUUCACCUUCGCGCCAAAGAUUUUUGCGAAAUUUAUCUAAUAGGACGUCAGACUUCUCAAUAUCCGACGUCUUAUAAUCAAUUGACGUCAGAUAAGUCUAUAUCCGAUGUCUAAAUUAAACUUUUAUUUACAAAAAUGUUACCGGUCAUUUUUAACGUUAACUCUUCAAUGGUUGAACAUUAAACACAUGAUUUUAUGCGAUUUUUUUACUAGUGUCACCUUUUUUUUAAUUUAUACAUUUUCAUUAUAAUGUAAAUAUAAAAAGGGUAAAAUAUUUUGAUUUUAUAAAAAAAAUAGCUAUAAAUAUUCAUUAGUUUUUUUUUUCUAAAAAAAUUAAAUCAUACUUAAAAAGGACCGAGCAUUUAUCACAUGAGAUGCUGGUGCAUAGGUGACAGAAGGAGAAUUUAUUUGUAAAAUAAAAAGUAUCUUAUCUUGACAUUUACUAUAUUUAUAGUAACACGGGUUGGUGGAAUGAUGGAGUAUGGCAUCAAAUUUAGUUUAUAAUUAGGAAUUAAAAAACAUAAGUGUUGCAUUAAAGUAAGCCAAGUGUUCGCCCAGUUAUGGAUUGUGUAUGGACUUUCCAUUUUUCUUUUUGUCCAUUCAUUUGUUUUUAAGUACACUCUCAUGUCAUUACUGCUUACUUUUAAUCCUACUCUAUCAUUUAAACUAUCAUUCUUGAAAUGGCAAGUUGAUCCAUUGGCCAGAUGGAAAGGCAAUAAAUACAAACAACGGUCAAUUAGAGUUUAAAUGUUCAGUUCAACUUCUAUCAUCCAAUUGUAUAAGAAUGAUAGAUCAUAUUUUAGCUUAUUCAGGAUCUCUUUCCAAAACUAAAAUACACGAUUCAAACUACAACAAAGAAAAUCUAACACACAUCAACAUAACAAGUGGCUAAAAACUAGUUUAUUGGUGGCCGAUCAAAUCAUUUAGAAAGAGCUAACCAAACCCUCUGCAGAAGAUUCCUCAGAGACCACAGUAUCAAUUUCAACAGAUUUCUUGUUAACAAAAUUACAGUGCUUUCUGAUUUCUCCUUGCUUCCCAGUGAGCACACGAAUGUUACCCAUCUUAAUCAUCGAAGCCUCAAAUGCGUCAAAGAAAACCUUUUGAUCGCUAUUGAACCUGGUGACAAUGGGAAUGGUAUCAGCGCCGGGCGUUGAGAACAACUCUUGAUCACUCUGAAGCAAACCCUUUUUAACCAAAAGAUUGGAGUAGUAGGCCUUGUCGAUUCUAUCAGGAGUUGUUGGAUCAAAAUUUACAAGGUUGUUAGGUCCACCUUGGGGGCACUGUGACCGUAAUUGUUGUAAGUAAGUUGUGUCCAGAGUUGGGUCGGGUCUUCCAGUGCCACUGAAGUUGUACAAUCGGUCAAGAAUGAAAGAACAGUGAGCUCUGCCAAAUGUAUGAGCACCUGCAAUGAAUCAUGUAUAUGCUAAUUGAUCAUGUGUUGUCUCUCUCAGAAGAUGGUCAAUUUCCCCUUUCUUAUUGUAUCUAAUUGUUUCAACAAAGGAUAGAUUUCAUUACCUGAGAGUGCAACUAGAUCAGUAGUGUCAAGGCCUUGUUUAGCAAAUGCAGCUUUCAGUAGGGUGAGGUUGAAGAAAGGAGCUGGAAGGUUUUCAUUAGCAAGUGUUCGGUUUGCUGUUAAACUAUCUCUUCUUCCCAAUGGAACUUUCCAGUCAGGACCACCUCCCUAUAUUCACAAACUCAUUUUAGCAUAACUCUUAACUAAGCAUGAUGAACAUCACGGACUUCAUAGACUUUUGAGUUACUAUAUUCAUGAAUCAACUGAAAGAUCUCUGCAUAAUUAUGAUUAACAAGAAAUCGUGUUUUGUACACAAGUGAUAGGAUUAAAUAUUUGAUUUUAUAUGAACUUGGUCAAACAUAUAUUUGAUACACAAACACAAGUAAAAAUAAUUGGAAAGAGCAUUUAUAUAUGUAUACCAGAACUGAAGAUAUUUCAGAUGCAAGGGUAAGAAUGUCUGCACAAGAAACCACGCCGGGGCAAGCAUUUUCCACUGCUGUCUUGAUAUCAUUCACAACAUCCAAACCUCUUAACGAGUUGUUGUUUGGCAGAGCUUGCUGCUCACUCACUAUUGUAGCAGUGUUGUUCAAUAAAACCGAGGCAUCACACCCCUGCAUGCCACAACAUCAACUCUUGGUUCAUCAGAUUUUGGAGUGGUUGGAGGAAGGAUAGUAUAAGUUUAUCUUUUCACUUGUUUAUUGUACAAAAUAGUACGUCAAAACUUUGAAUAACAGUAAAUGAACAACAGAGAGGACAAAAAUAUAUAAUGUACAGUGAAAAUAAAUUUAUUACAUCGUAUUUUUCAUCAGACUUAUAUUUUAUAUAUAAUAUAACAUCACAUGUGGAUGGGAAUCGAACAUAGUAUUGUUAAGAAUGAUAGAGUUAUAAUGGGAUCAGGUUGAAUAAUGGAGAAAGAGGGAGGUUAAAAAAUUAAUGGGGGUCACCGAUGCCUGGGACCCUUGGUGCAUACAAAAAAAUCUAUGUUCUUACCUUAACGUCCGAUGAAAAGUGUUUCAUAAAUACACUUACGUGUAGAAGAAGGAAGAAAGUAUGUAAAAAAAUGUGUGGUGAAAAGAAGAUAGGUUUAGCAGGAAAAGAAAAGAGAGAAAGAAUGAAUGUGUGCAUGCGUACUUGAACAAAGCAGUCAUGAAAGUGAAGUCUAAUGAGACUGGCGAGAAUGCGAGGAUCCUUCUUUGAAACGUUCCUGACGACUUCACGAACAAUGGAGUGAACUCUGGGACAUGUGUCUCUGUAAAACGAAGGAUCAAGUUGUGCAUCUAGAGAGAGUGGAAACACUCCCAGCACAACCACUACACAACACAGAGCUGUCACUGUACCAUGAAAAACCCUCAUUUUUCGUUUCCUUAACUCGUUGUCUUUACCUCUGCGUUUG
Molecule: long non-coding RNA, 33773 nt
Filed under: Vigna radiata
Lineage: Eukaryota; Viridiplantae; Streptophyta; Magnoliopsida; Fabales; Fabaceae
Description: long non-coding RNA (VRAD_LNC010659)
Source: RNAcentral